This is a long non-coding RNA of Temnothorax curvispinosus, 409 nucleotides long. RefSeq lists it as uncharacterized. The record is from RefSeq and is a predicted model, not a curated record. Lineage: Eukaryota; Metazoa; Arthropoda; Insecta; Hymenoptera; Formicidae. The transcript has 3 exons.
GUAAGAUUGGUUUUGUCCGCAGGUUGGUGUAAUCUGCGAGCGAAUGCUCAAGGAGCAAGAAACGAAAAUUCGAGAAGAGUACGAUCAGAUCUUACAUCUAAAGCUCUCCGAACAGUAUGACGCUUUCGUCAAAUUCACGUACGAUCAGCUACAGAAAAGAUUCGAGUCCGCGGCUACACCGAGUUAUCUAUCAUAAGAAAAGAUUCUUAUUUAUAAGAAGACAUUUCUGUGAGGAAUAUUAGAUUUCUACUGUGUGAGACAAAUUUUGCUUGCGCCGAGGUCCGCAGCGCCGCCUCGCUCCGGGAAUCGCCUCUAAAAAGAUAAUGAACUAUGGUUUCAGCAGUGUCUAAUAAAAAAAGGACUAAAAAAAAGAGAAAAAUAAGGAAAUGAGAAGAAAAAAUAAUGAUUA